AAUAGAUACCCGGGUAGUCCACGCCGUAAACGAUGAGUGCUAAGUGUUAGAGGGUUUCCGCCCUUUAGUGCUGCAGCUAACGCAUUAAGCACUCCGCCUGGGGAGUACGGUCGCAAGACUGAAACUCAAAGGAAUUGACGGGGGCCCGCACAAGCGGUGGAGCAUGUGGUUUAAUUCGAAGCAACGCGAAGAACCUUACCAGGUCUUGACAUCCUCUGACAACUCUAGAGAUAGAGCGUUCCCCUUCGGGGGACAGAGUGACAGGUGGUGCAUGGUUGUCGUCAGCUCGUGUCGUGAGAUGUUGGGUUAAGUCCCGCAACGAGCGCAACCCUUGAUCUUAGUUGCCAGCAUUUAGUUGGGCACUCUAAGGUGACUGCCGGUGACAAACCGGAGGAAGGUGGGGAUGACGUCAAAUCAUCAUGCCCCUUAUGACCUGGGCUACACACGUGCUACAAUGGAUGGUACAAAGGGCUGCAAGACCGCGAGGUCAAGCCAAUCCCAUAAACCAUUCUCAGUUCGGAUUGUAGGC
This 529-nucleotide ribosomal RNA is filed under the name uncultured bacterium. Its description in RNAcentral is "bacterial SSU rRNA". It matches the Rfam family "Bacterial small subunit ribosomal RNA", at positions 777 to 1305 of the family's 1533-position model. The record is from RNAcentral.